This 253-nucleotide ribosomal RNA is filed under the name uncultured bacterium. Its description in RNAcentral is "partial 16S ribosomal RNA". It matches the Rfam family "Bacterial small subunit ribosomal RNA", at positions 524 to 776 of the family's 1533-position model. The record is from RNAcentral.
UACGUAGGGUGCGAGCGUUAAUCGGAAUUACUGGGCGUAAAGCGUGCGCAGGCGGUUCCUCAAGUCCGUUGUGAAAGCCCCGGGCUCAACCUGGGAAUGGCAGUGGAAACUAGGGGACUGGAAUCUGGCAGAGGGGGGUGGAAUGCCGCGUGUAGCAGUGAAAUGCGUAGAGAUGCGGCGGAACACCGAUGGCGAAGGCAGCCUCCUGGGCCAGCACUGACGCUCAUGCACGAAAGCGUGGGGAGCAAACAGG